CCGACAGGCGUAGGCGAUGGAUAACAGGUUGAUAUUCCUGUACCACCUAUAAUCGUUUUAAUCGAUGGGGGGACGCAGUAGGAUAGGCGAAGCGUGCGAUUGGAUUGCACGUCUAAGCAGUAAGGCUGAGUAUUAGGCAAAUCCGGUACUCGUUAAGGCUGAGCUGUGAUGGGGAGAAGACAUUGUGUCUUCGAGUCGUUGAUUUCACACUGCCGAGAAAAGCCUCUAGAUAGAAAAUAGGUGCCCGUACCGCAAACCGACACAGGUAGUCAAGAUGAGAAUUCUAAGGUGAGCGAGCGAACUCUCGUUAAGGAACUCGGCAAAAUGACCCCGUAACUUCGGGAGAAGGGGUGCUCUUUAGGGUUAACGCCCAGAAGAGCCGCAGUGAAUAGGCCCAAGCGACUGUUUAUCAAAAACACAGGUCUCUGCUAAACCGUAAGGUGAUGUAUAGGGGCUGACGCCUGCCCGGUGCUGGAAGGUUAAGAGGAGUGGUUAGCUUCUGCGAAGCUACGAAUCGAAGCCCCAGUAAACGGCGGCCGUAACUAUAACGGUCCUAAGGUAGCGAAAUUCCUUGUCGGGUAAGUUCCGACCCGCACGAAAGGCGUAACGAUUUGGGCACUGUCUCAACGAGAGACUCGGUGAAAUCAUAGUACCUGUGAAGAUGCAGGUUACCCGCGACAGGACGGAAAGACCCCGUGGAGCUUUACUGUAGCCUGAUAUUGAAAUUCGGCACAGCUUGUACAGGAUAGGUAGGAGCCUUUGAAACGUGAGCGCUAGCUUACGUGGA
This 787-nucleotide ribosomal RNA is filed under the name Staphylococcus aureus. RNAcentral's name for it is "partial 23S ribosomal RNA". It matches the Rfam family "Bacterial large subunit ribosomal RNA", at positions 1402 to 2184 of the family's 2925-position model. The record is from RNAcentral. Lineage: Bacteria; Bacillati; Bacillota; Bacilli; Caryophanales; Staphylococcaceae.